GACUGGCCAUGGGCCAGUGGCCGAGUGAAUGCUCAGGGCUCUAGCCCACCAAAGCAGCUGCCCUGAGGCAGUGGGGAUUCCACAGGACAAAGGCCAUCCCUCUCUGGCCUAACAGACCAUGAGGAGUCAUAAGUAGCUGAUAUCACAGAUUGGUCAAAUCUGGAGGGCUGCCUUCCUUGAAAUUUCCAUCUUGGGUCCUAGAGCUGGUGAAGAUGGGAUGGAGGUGGAAGUAUCAUUGGCUACUUCCAGGACAGAAGGAAAUUCAGAGCAAGUAAACCAACAGAAAGAGAUCAUGUGCUCUGGGGGGAGCUAGCUGCCACAUUGUGAGGAUGCUCAAGCAGCCCUGUGGUCCCUAUGGCAACUGAUGAAGGCCUCCUACUA
Long non-coding RNA from Bos taurus (domestic cattle), 381 nucleotides. Lineage: Eukaryota; Metazoa; Chordata; Mammalia; Artiodactyla; Bovidae. The record is from Ensembl.